This is a long non-coding RNA of Esox lucius (northern pike), 301 nucleotides long. RefSeq lists it as uncharacterized. The record is from RefSeq and is a predicted model, not a curated record. NCBI's taxonomy places the organism in Eukaryota, Metazoa, Chordata, Actinopteri, Esociformes, Esocidae. The transcript has 3 exons.
AGUAGAGUAAGACAUCGGAGCAAAGAUUAUCUCACAAACGGACUGACGAGUUCAUGCAGUCCCCCUGGAGACAGCCGGGUUAGAGAAUGCUCAAUUUCCUUCUAAAAACCCAUUGAACGAAAAGGCCAGCCGUGCCUUUUCAAAAGUCGGACCCUAUUCACCAACUUGUCCCGAUAUGUUGUGUUGCAUGAGUCCACCUGCUAACACCUUUCUUGCAGAUAGGAAUAUCUCAAUGUGACAGGAAACAUACCUGCUCUCAGCCACGUUCGGCGGGCAUUUACAGAUGUCACCUUGAGUGCUU